ACGUACACUCCUACGGGAGGCAGCAGUGGGGAAUAUUGGACAAUGGGCGCAAGCCUGAUCCAGCCAUGCCGCGUGAGUGAUGAAGGCCCUAGGGUUGUAAAGCUCUUUCACCGGUGAAGAUAAUGACGGUAACCGGAGAAGAAGCCCCGGCUAACUUCGUGCCAGCAGCCGCGGUAAUACGAAGGGGGCUAGCGUUGUUCGGAUUUACUGGGCGUAAAGCGCACGUAGGCGGACUAUUAAGUCAGGGGUGAAAUCCCGGGGCUCAACCCCGGAACUGCCUUUGAUACUGGUAGUCUUGAGUUCGAGAGAGGUGAGUGGAAUUCCGAGUGUAGAGGUGAAAGUCGUAGAUAUUCGGAGGAACACCAGUGGCGAAGGCGGCUCACUGGCUCGAUACUGACGCUGAGGUGCGAAAGCGUGGGGAGCAAACAGGAUUAGAAACCCUGUAGUCCCA
Molecule: ribosomal RNA, 451 nt
Filed under: uncultured organism
Description: partial 16S ribosomal RNA
Rfam family: Bacterial small subunit ribosomal RNA
Source: RNAcentral